UUUUAUUUGAGAGUUUGAUCCUGGCUCAGGAUGAACGCUGGCGGCAUGCCUAAUACAUGCAAGUCGAACGGGAAAGU
This 77-nucleotide ribosomal RNA is filed under the name Acholeplasmataceae bacterium. Its description in RNAcentral is "partial 16S ribosomal RNA". It matches the Rfam family "Bacterial small subunit ribosomal RNA", at positions 1 to 75 of the family's 1533-position model. The record is from RNAcentral. Lineage: Bacteria; Bacillati; Mycoplasmatota; Mollicutes; Acholeplasmatales; Acholeplasmataceae.